This 45-nucleotide non-coding RNA is filed under the name Schistosoma mattheei. The record is from RNAcentral. Lineage: Eukaryota; Metazoa; Platyhelminthes; Trematoda; Strigeidida; Schistosomatidae.
AUCCAACUGACGAUUCCCAAAUAGGAUGAAACGUGUCUUCUGGAU